Molecule: ribosomal RNA, 484 nt
Filed under: uncultured bacterium
Lineage: Bacteria
Description: partial 16S ribosomal RNA
Rfam family: Bacterial small subunit ribosomal RNA
Source: RNAcentral
AUUGAACGCUGGCGGCAGGCCUAACACAUGCAAGUCGAGCGGAUGAAGGGAGCUUGCUCCUGGAUUCAGCGGCGGACGGGUGAGUAAUGCCUAGGAAUCUGCCUGGUAGUGGGGGAUAACGUCCGGAAACGGGCGCUAAUACCGCAUACGUCCUGAGGGAGAAAGUGGGGGAUCUUCGGACCUCACGCUAUCAGAUGAGCCUAGGUCGGAUUAGCUAGUUGGUGGGGUAAAGGCCUACCAAGGCGACGAUCCGUAACUGGUCUGAGAGGAUGAUCAGUCACACUGGAACUGAGACACGGUCCCGACUCCUACGGGAAGCAACAGUGGGGAAUAUUGGACAAUGGGCGAGAGCCUGAUCCAGCCAUGCCGCGUGUGUGAAGAAGGUCUUCGGAUUGUAAAGCACUUUAAGUUGGGAGGAAGGGCAGUAAGUUAAUACCUUGCUGUUUUGACGUUACCAACAGAAUAAGCACCGGCUAACUUCGUG